This 492-nucleotide ribosomal RNA is filed under the name uncultured bacterium. RNAcentral's name for it is "partial 16S ribosomal RNA". It matches the Rfam family "Bacterial small subunit ribosomal RNA", at positions 29 to 507 of the family's 1533-position model. The record is from RNAcentral.
AGUGAACGCUGGCGGUAGGCCUAACACAUGCAAGUCGAACGGCAGCACAGUAAGAGCUUGCUCUUACGGGUGGCGAGUGGCGGACGGGUGAGGAAUACAUCGGAAUCUACUUUUUCGUGGGGGAUAACGUAGGGAAACUUACGCUAAUACCGCAUACGACCUAUGGGUGAAAGCAGGGGAUCUUCGGACCUUGCGCGAUUGAAUGAGCCGAUGUCGGAUUAGCUAGUUGGCGGGGUAAAGGCCCACCAAGGCGACGAUCCGUAGCUGGUCUGAGAGGAUGAUCAGCCACACUGGAACUGAGACACGGUCCAUACUCCUACGGGAGGCAGCAGUGGGGAAUAUUGGACAAUGGGCGCAAGCCUGAUCCAGCCAUACCGCGUGGGUGAAGAAGGCCUUCGGGUUGUAAAGCCCUUUUGUUGGGAAAGAAAAGCAGCAGGUUAAUACCCCGCUGUUCUGACGGUACCCAAAGAAUAAGCACCGGCUAACUUCGUG